RNAcentral lists this long non-coding RNA (400 nucleotides) under Sinocyclocheilus anshuiensis. Its description in RNAcentral is "lncRNA (ENSSANG00000035485.1)". Lineage: Eukaryota; Metazoa; Chordata; Actinopteri; Cypriniformes; Cyprinidae. The record is from RNAcentral.
ACAGUCACUUUAUUAGAAUGAUUCACCACUGAUAACUGUUUUGUGUUUUCCCAUGUGUCAAGGUCCUGGUGCCCUCUCCCCUGCUCAGGCAAAAGCUGCUAAAUAUGGUGCAGGAGUAGUUCCUGGUGGUGCUGGGAUUGUGCCAGGAGCUGGAGGGGUUUAUCCUGCAACGGGAGGUUAAAAAAAACUGUCUAUACAAAAUAUCUAGAAGAACAUUAAAACAUUAUAAUGAUCAUGGAGUCUCAAAACCAUUUAUUUUUUCUAAGGUCUUACUCCCGCUCAAGCCAAAGCAGCUAAAUAUUCCCAACAUUUCAGUGGGGCAGCUGGAACUGGUGUUGGAGGACUGUACCCUGGAGCUGGAGGUGCACCAGUUGGUGGAGUAGUGGGGGGAGCCGGGGGA